GGCUCUGCAGCUCAGCGGUUAGAGCAGUGGUCUUAUAAACCAGCAGUCAUGAGUUCGAAUCUCAUCAGAGCCU
Protopterus annectens (West African lungfish) is the source of this 73-nucleotide non-coding RNA. NCBI's taxonomy places the organism in Eukaryota, Metazoa, Chordata, Ceratodontiformes, Protopteridae. The record is from the annotation of a RefSeq genome assembly.